Molecule: ribosomal RNA, 619 nt
Filed under: uncultured archaeon
Lineage: Archaea
Description: bacterial SSU rRNA
Rfam family: Archaeal small subunit ribosomal RNA
Source: RNAcentral
UGCGAGUCAUAUGUUCUUCGUGAACAUGGCGUACUGCUCAGUAACACGUGGAUAACCUGCCCUUGGGACCGGGAUAACCCCGGGAAACUGGGGAUAAUACCGGAUAACGCAUAUCUGCUGGAAUGCUUUAUGCGUAAAAUGGAUUUGUCUGCCCAAGGAUGGGUCUGCGGCCUAUCAGGUAGUAGUGGGUGUAAUGUACCUACUAGCCUACGACGGGUACGGGUUGUGAGAGCAAGAGCCCGGAGAUGGAUUCUGAGACAUGAAUCCAGGCCCUACGGGGCGCAGCAGGCGCGAAAACUUUACAAUGCGGGAAACCGUGAUAAGGGGACACCGAGUGCCAGCAUCAUAUGUUGGCUGUCCAGAUGUGUAAAAUACAUCUGUUAGCAAGGGCCGGGCAAGACCGGUGCCAGCCGCCGCGGUAACACCGGCGGCCUGAGUGGUGAUCGUGAUUAUUGGGUCUAAAGGGUCCGUAGCCGGUUUGGUCAGUCCUCCGGGAAAUCUGACGGCUCAACCGUUAGGCUUUCGGUGGAUACUGCCAGACUUGGAACCGGGAGAGGUAAGAGGUACUACAGGGGUAGGAGUGAAAUCUUGUAAUCCCUGUGACACCACCUGUGGCGAA